AUUUAUAUAGUUUAUAUAAAACAUUACAUUUUCAUUGUAAAAUUAAACUAAGUUUUAUAAAUA
This 63-nucleotide transfer RNA is filed under the name Nipponoluciola cruciata (Japanese firefly). RNAcentral describes it as "Luciola cruciata (Japanese firefly) tRNA-Glu". Lineage: Eukaryota; Metazoa; Arthropoda; Insecta; Coleoptera; Lampyridae. The record is from RNAcentral.